GACAGAGGGUGCAAACGUUGUUCGGAAUUACUGGGCGUAAAGGGCUCGUAGGCGGCCAACUAAGUCAUACGUGAAAUCCCUCGGCUUAACCGGGGAACUGCGUCUGAUACUGGAUGGCUUGAGAUUGGGAGAGGGAUGCGGAAUUCCAGGUGUAGCGGUGAAAUGCGUAGAUAUCUGGAGGAACACCGGUGGCGAAGGCGGCAUCCUGGACCAACACUGACGCUGAGGAGCGAAAGCCAGGGGAGCAAACGGG
This 253-nucleotide ribosomal RNA is filed under the name uncultured bacterium. RNAcentral's name for it is "partial 16S ribosomal RNA". It matches the Rfam family "Bacterial small subunit ribosomal RNA", at positions 524 to 776 of the family's 1533-position model. The record is from RNAcentral.